CCCUGGUGACAUUGAUGUUAAAAGUUUACUU
RNAcentral lists this non-coding RNA (31 nucleotides) under Homo sapiens (human). The record is from RNAcentral. Lineage: Eukaryota; Metazoa; Chordata; Mammalia; Primates; Hominidae.